This 460-nucleotide ribosomal RNA is filed under the name uncultured bacterium. RNAcentral's name for it is "partial 16S ribosomal RNA". It matches the Rfam family "Bacterial small subunit ribosomal RNA", at positions 338 to 795 of the family's 1533-position model. The record is from RNAcentral.
CCUACGAGAGGCAGCAGUGAGGAAUAUUGGUCAAUGGACGAGAGUCUGAACCAGCCAAGUAGCGUGAAGGAUGACUGCACUAUGGGUUGUAAACUUAUUUUAUAAAGGAAUAAAACGAGGCACGUGUGCCUUUUGGCAUGUACUUUAUGAAUAAGGAUCGGAUAACUUCGGGCCAGGCGGCGGGGGAAAUCGGAGGAGUCGAGCGUUAACCGGAUUUAGUGGGUUUAAAGGGAGGUGAGAUGGGUUUGUUAUUUAGUUGGGAAAGUUUGCGGCUCAACCUUAAAAUUGCAAUUGAUACUGGCAAUCUUGAGUACAGUUGAGGUAGGCGGAAUUCGUGGUGUAGCGGUGAAAUGCUUAGAUAUCACGAAGAACCCCGAUUGCGAAGGCAGCUUACUAAACUGUGACUGACAUUGAGGCUCGAAAGUGUGGGUAUCAAACAGGAUUAGAUACCCGAGUAGUC